RNAcentral lists this long non-coding RNA (816 nucleotides) under Brachypodium distachyon (stiff brome). RNAcentral's name for it is "long non-coding RNA (BDIS_LNC002847)". The record is from RNAcentral. Lineage: Eukaryota; Viridiplantae; Streptophyta; Magnoliopsida; Poales; Poaceae.
UCCUGCAAGUGAACGAAAAUAGCGGUGUGAUUAAUCUUGCAAAGUUGUUUGGAGAAAAUGUAGCAAUCUUUUAUUUUAAAAAUACAUCAUUGUAACUGUUGGUACAAGCUAGUAUUAGACAAGUGCACAUGGGAUUAAAAAACACGAGACAAGAAAAACAGAAUUUGAUUGGCUUUACGAUACUCUCUGAUGCACGUUUUAGACUUUUAGUAUCUCUUUACCGUAGCAUUUCGACAAGACAUCCUUCCUGAUGGCUGAUAGGGCUUCACUUGCGAUGACCUUUGCACCUAUACAUGCCUGUCAAGGUGCAAAUCAGCAUCUUAUUGCUAUUAAAAAGGAGUACCAGUUGAGUUGUUCUGAUUCUUCAUAAACAAAUAGCUAUGGCUGCUCGCACUGACCUAUGCACCUAUACAUGCCUGUCAAGGUGCAAAUCAGCAUCUUAUUGCUAUUAAAAAGGAGUACCAGUUGAGUUGUUAUGAUUCUUCAUAAACAAAUAGCUAUGGCUGCUCCUAUUUUCCACCAAAUUGUUAAACACUUUUCUGGUUAAGAGAACUGACCUAGGUCCUCCUAAGACCUAAGCCAAGGUAGAGAUGGUGCCAACUGCUACUUCACAGUUUGUGGUUAAAAUGCAAGAUCAAACCGAUAACUAAAAAAUUAACUGCUGCUAUUUCUUGAUAUAGGUUGCCAAAACUAGGUUGAAUUGAAACAUCUUAGGUACCCCUGACCACAACUUAUAAUCUCCAAUUGUUGAUUUCCCCAGCUUUGCCAUGCAGAUAUAUUACAAAGAAAUGCAAGAAUAAGAUAGAUAGAUAAAUC